Phrynosoma platyrhinos (Desert horned lizard) is the source of this 73-nucleotide non-coding RNA. The record is from the annotation of a GenBank genome assembly. NCBI's taxonomy places the organism in Eukaryota, Metazoa, Chordata, Lepidosauria, Squamata, Phrynosomatidae.
GGCCAGUGUGAUGUAGUGGUUUGGGUAUCAGACUACGACUCUGGAGACCAGGAUUCGAUUCCCUGCUUGGCCU